RNAcentral lists this transfer RNA (77 nucleotides) under Alkalibacter rhizosphaerae. Its description in RNAcentral is "Alkalibacter sp. ES005 tRNA-Pro". It matches the Rfam family "tRNA". From Rfam's summary of the family: Transfer RNA (tRNA) molecules are approximately 80 nucleotides in length. Lineage: Bacteria; Bacillati; Bacillota; Clostridia; Eubacteriales; Eubacteriaceae. The record is from RNAcentral.
CGAGGUGUAGCGCAGUUUGGUAGCGCACAUGGUUUGGGACCAUGGGGCCGGGGGUUCAAAUCCCUCCACCUCGACCA